Rosa chinensis is the source of this 1706-nucleotide long non-coding RNA. RefSeq lists it as uncharacterized. The transcript is spliced from 2 exons. The record is from RefSeq and is a predicted model, not a curated record. Lineage: Eukaryota; Viridiplantae; Streptophyta; Magnoliopsida; Rosales; Rosaceae.
AUCCGUUUUCUCUCUUCUCUUUUACCAAUUUUUUUUCAUUGAUGUCCCGAUCUUCCUUUGUGUUGGUUUCGCUGAUUUUUAUUCUAAAUAGGAGUCUGGGUUUUGGGUUUUUUGCCUUUGUUUUUGUUCUGAGUUUCCAACCGUGGAAUUGAUUGUAGGCUAUGUAGAAAUGUAAUGGUAAGAACCCUCUUCUCAUUCUUUCUUCUUUUCAUGAUCAGAGUAAUCGGCAAAAGAAGAAGAGGUUUUAUUUUCAGCAAAAGCAAGAUAAGAAUGGGGUUCACUUGAUUUGAUGGCUUCAAUUGCAUGAUGGCUGUUUUCAUUUUUUUUUUUUUUUUAUUAUGAACAGACAUAAUGUUUAACCUUAUACUUCAAUACAUUAUUUGCGGGUGAAGCUAUUUGGUUGGUAUGGAUUGCUAUUGAUCUUUCUUCUGUUAACUAAAGCUAAUCUGAUUCAACUCUUAAUGUAUGCGAUUUGGUUUCCUUCUGCAGCCUGGGUUUUAACUUUUCAACAGUUCCAAGAUCCAAAUCAUUUAGUAAAUUGUCAUUGGUUUCCAUUAGUAAAAUAUUUUCUCCUGCUGAUAAGUGAUAAGAUUGUGAGUUUGUGAUGACGUGAGCGGUUCAUUACAAGUACUAUAUACUUUAAAGUUACCAACUGAUGUAUGAAUAUGACCAAAGAACAGAUUAGAUUGGUACUUAUUUCUCCAUUGUUUUCUUAGUCCAUUGUUUUCUUCUGCAGCAUUGAUUGUAAUUAGUAAUUAUUAUAUUAUCUAAAGAAACUAAUUCAUAUGGUCGUUUCAAAUAUAGAAUGCAGGAAGUUUUUCUUACUUGGUUUCCAUAACGACAUGUUAGUCUUCACUGUUGUUGUCCUAUUUAUGUUUUAUGAUUUCUUGAUAUCUAAGCUAUAAAGUUAUUAAAACCAAACUUCACAAAUCAAUGGAGAUGGGUUCUGUUAUACCUUUUUAUGUAUGUGGAAUGCAGCUUUCUUCUGAAGCUUAAAUUCUUCGUCUGACAUUUCCAUUUGCUUUAUUGUGCAGACCACAGUAAAGUUUAGUUGAUUAACCGAUCAGUAAGAAGAAAAAGGCCUAGGUUUUUGGUGUAUUGUGGUCACUAAGUUUGCUGCAGGUAGAUUUAGUUCAAUUUAGUUAGUUUUCUUUAUUUUUUAUCAUUUAAGUUCUGGACAAAUUAAUCAUUGGGAGAAGAGAUUUAAUUAGUACUAGAAGAUGCAUUUAUGAUCGAUGAUAUCACUGAAAUGGUUCAUGCAUUAUGGUCCCGUCUUGAAUUAUUUGGUGGAGGCGUCAAGUUCAACAGUGUAUGCUUUAUUAUUUUAGUAGAGUAGUUCUUAUUUUAAUCAUCUAUUGUUUUCUUUGCUCUGUUGAUAAGCAGCAAGGCAGUUGGAAUUCCUCAAAGGCAGGAGUUAUUCUACUCAUCAUCAAUCUACUCAUUAUAAACGCCCUCAUUCCAAUAACAGUAUAAACACGAUCUUUUGCAGGAUUGUAUAAUGCUUGCAACUAAUUUCUCAGCUUCACCCUCCUGCUCACAACAUACAGCAGCUGUCUGAGACUUCUGAUACACCAAGUUUGAUACCAGUUUAUUCAUUGUAAUCAAAACAUUACAAAAUCAAUAAUAUUAUCAUUAUGUAUAAAAAUACAAUAUAGACGGAUCAAAUCCCGCUGUAAAGCGCGGGCAAAUCUUGCUAGUUCAUUUAC